GGCGGCAUGCCUUACACAUGCAAGUCGAACGGCAGCACGGGGGUAACCCUGGUGGCGAGUGGCGAACGGGUGAGUAAUACAUCGGAACGUGUCCUGUAGUGGGGGAUAGCCCGGCGAAAGCCGGAUUAAUACCGCAUACGAUCUACGGAAGAAAGCGGGGGAUCCUUCGGGACCUCGCGCUAUAGGGGCGGCCGAUGGCAGAUUANCUAGUUGGUGGGGUNAAGGCCUACCAAGGCGACGAUCUGUAGCUGGUCUGAGAGGACGACCAGCCACACUGGGACUGAGACACGGCCCAGACUCCUACGGGAGGCAGCAGUGGGGAAUUUUGGACAAUGGGGGAAACCCUGAUCCAGCAAUGCCGCGUGUGUGAANAANGCCUUCGGGUUGUNAAACACUUUUGUCCGGAAAGAAAACUUCUGCCCUAAUAC
Molecule: ribosomal RNA, 428 nt
Filed under: uncultured beta proteobacterium
Lineage: Bacteria; Pseudomonadati; Pseudomonadota; Betaproteobacteria
Description: bacterial SSU rRNA
Rfam family: Bacterial small subunit ribosomal RNA
Source: RNAcentral